GACGACGCUGGCGGCGUGGAUUAGGCAUGCAAGUCGAACGGUAUCAUCCUUUCGGGGGUGAGAGAGUGGCGAACUGGUGAGUAACACGUAGGUUAUCUACCUUCAAGACGGGACAACCCAGGGAAACUUGGGCUAAUACCGGAUGUGAGCAACUUUUAGUUGUUUGAAAGGUGGCGUAAGCUGUCGCUUGGGGAUGAGCCUGCGUCCUAUUAGUUAGUUGGUGAGGUAACGGCUCACCUAGGCAAUGAUAGGUAGGCGGCCUUAACGGGUGGUCGCCCACACUGGGAUUGAGAUACGGCCCAGACUCCUACGGGAGGCAGCAGUCGAGAAUAGUCUACAAUGGUCGGAAGACUGAUAGUGCGACGCCGCGUGAACGAUGAAUCCCUUCGGGGUGUAAAGUUCUUUUAUAUGUGAGCAGUGCUUCUUAUAUUAACAGUAUGGGGAGAGAGAUAUUAGCAUAUGAAUAAGCAACGGCUAACUCCGUG
This 485-nucleotide ribosomal RNA is filed under the name uncultured bacterium. RNAcentral's name for it is "bacterial SSU rRNA". It matches the Rfam family "Bacterial small subunit ribosomal RNA", at positions 33 to 507 of the family's 1533-position model. The record is from RNAcentral.